This 6305-nucleotide long non-coding RNA is filed under the name Linum usitatissimum (flax). RNAcentral describes it as "long non-coding RNA (LUSI_LNC006768)". The record is from RNAcentral. Lineage: Eukaryota; Viridiplantae; Streptophyta; Magnoliopsida; Malpighiales; Linaceae.
GUCAACUCGGAAACAGCGUUCAAUUAUUCAUACCGUACAAAGCAGCCCCCCAACUUGCUCAUCGUCUCAAGAUAUUCAGAGCAGCAGCACAAGAAAACCUUCCCUCAGCUCAUGGCUACAGCUUCUUGUUCUUGUUCUUCUUCUUCUGCAUCUCAUAGCUCUCGAUGUGAUGUUUUCCUGUGUUUUCGAGGCGACGACACGCGUCAUGGUUUCACCAGCCACCUCAUGUCUGCUCUGUGUGAUAGGCAAAUCCAAACCUUCAUAGACGACAAGCUCGAGAAAACAGAGAGCAUCGGUGAGCUUCAAUCCAUCCUCCAAAGAACUGCUCUUUCCGUGGUGGUUUUUUCUGUGAAAUUUGCGGAUUCGGUCUGGUGCCUCGAUGAGGUAGCAACCAUAGCUCGAAAGAUGAAAGAAUCUGGGCAUCGGGUUCUACCGGUUUUCUACAAAGUGGAUCCAUCAGACGUGACAGACGACGCUCGAAGCUAUGCGGCUACCAUCGAUCGUGAACAUAAGUCCAGAAGUAGUUAUGUAGAGGAUAAGAAGAGAUGGAUGGAUGCUUUGAAUGUUGUGGCUGAUUCUGCUGGCCAUACCUCACAGACCUUCAAGUAAGUUACUUGUUAAAGUUAAUUUUAAUAGUUGUUUCAUUUCUGUUAGAUUGAACUUUAAAUUGUGUUUCUUUUUUUCUUUGAUUUGUUUUGCAUGGGUGGAUUUUAGAAAUGAAUCUGAAUUGAUUAAGGUAAUUGUGGAAGAUGUUUUGAAGAAACUAAUUGGCUUGUCACCGGUUAUCAAGAAUGAUAACUUGGUUGCUAUGAGUUCACGUAUUUUCGAGGUUGAGCGACUACUGGCUAUGGACAAGGUAAAAGAGACUCGUGUCGUUGGGUUAUGGGGAAUGGGGGGAGUUGGGAAAACAACUCUAGCAAGAGCGUGUUAUGAAAGGAUAACUUGGUCCGACAAAGGGAUCAAGUGUCUUUUCAUUUCAAACGUCAAUGAAAAAUAUGGAAAACAUCUUGACGUUGAAGAAGUUGUUUGCAAAUACUAUUCAAAAUUGUUGAAUGAGGAUAACAUUGAUCGUGAAGAUUUGAAUAUUACUUAUCGACGGGGACGUCUGUCGCGUUUGAGGGUAUUCAUUGUCCUUGACAAUGUUGAGACUUCGCAGCAAUUGGAGCAAUUGAUUCUAGGAGGUAUCUCUGAUCUCAGCACAGUCUUUGCAACGGGAAGUAGAAUCCUCGUGACGACAAAAAAUAGAGAAGUGCUAAGAAAUGCUACGAAGGAGAUUUAUAAAGUUGAGUGUUUGAAUGCCAAGGAAUCCACCCAAUUGUUUAGUCUGCAUGCGUUCAAACACGACUUCCCUCAAAAUUGGACAGAUAAGUGUCGUCUUGCAACAUCAUAUUGUAAGGGACAUCCCUUGGCACUUAAGAUCUUGGGGGGUGCAUUGUGCAGUCGAGAUAUGCAUUAUUGGGAAAGUUUCUUGAGUGGGUUGAAGCAAACUGGAGACACAAAUAUCCACAACGUUUUUAGGAGGAGUUACGAUAUGCUUGGGGAGAUAGAGCAGAUAAUAUUUCUGGAUGUUGCAUGUCUAUUUGAUAGCAUACCAAAAUCUCAAUUGAUUGAGUAUAUGUCCACCAUGCACCCCGCUUCUCUUGUAAAGGUGGAAAUUCUAAUCGAUAGAUCCCUCUUAGCUUGUGUUUCUAACGAGAAGAUUGAGGUGCAUGAUCUACUUAAGGAGAUGGCUUGGAAUAUUGUCAACGGAGAACCAAAGCUUGGCAAACGCAGCAGAUUGGCCGAUCCUGAUGAUAUUCGUAAAUUGCUUAGGGCUCGAGAUGUUCACAAUUUUUUUAUAACUUCAGAAGUGAAAAAUUGGAAUACAUCAUUUCUCGGCUUCUUCAAAGCCAUAGGAAUGGUGGGCCUGCCAAAAAAGAGAGAUGGUUGGAAUGGUAUCGAUAUCCUUCAAAAUCUCUACCAUCAAAUUUUUAUCCUCAGCACCUUACCCAUCUCAUUAUACAAUUUAGUCCAAUUCAGAGAUGUUGGAAAGGACAUGACCAAGUAAGUUUUCUGAUGAUCUUCUAUUUGACCUCUUAAUUACUUACAAUCAUUAGUUAACCUUUUUCCUUUUUCUACAGCCCCAACUUGUGAACUUGUUGGUACUUAAUCUCUCCUACUGUAGGAAUCUAAUUGCUAUUCCAAAUAUAUCAAGUUCUUCAAAACUCGAAGAACUCUUUCUUGGUCAAUGUGAAAGCCUAGUUGAGGUACCUUCGCAUGUUCAAUACUUGACAAAGUUGAUAACAUUAGACCUUAAUGGUUGCCGAAACCUCAAGCGUCUUCCGCCUAGACUUGACUCAAAGUUGCUUAAGCAUGUUAGGAUGGCGAGUUGUCUCAAUGUCAGGCACUGCCCAGAGAUUAUUUCAAAAGAGUUGGAGGCAUUGGUUUUAUCUAAGACAUCCCUUAUAGAACUACCAAGUGCAAUUUACAAUGUCAAGCAAAAUGGAGUCUUAUAUCUUCAUGGUGAAAACAUUACCGAAUUUCCUGCAAUUACAACAAGCUUGAGGAGAUUUUCAUUGACCAGUACUUCAAUAAGAGAUAUUGGUUUUUAUGACCGUCACACUUCUUCUGAAUCGAUUAUGCCGAAAUUCAACACACUGCUUCUUUCUGGAAAUUUGCAACUGAAGAGCCUGCCGAGUAGCAUAUGGAACAUGGUCUCUUAUGAAUUCGAGAUUCAACAGUGCCCUUUGAUUGAAAUUUUGCCGGAGAUUUUGGAGCCUGUUACAGGCUUAACUAGUAUUGAUAUAAGUGAAUGUGGAAACUUCAAAAGCCUGCCAUCUAGCAUCAACAAUAUAAGAUCUCUCGAACGACUUGAUUUAUCACAGACAGGUAUUCAAUCUCUGCCGGAACUCCCACAAAAUCUGAAGUCAUUGAAAGUAAAUGGUUGCAAGUUUUUACAAGCUCUACCAAGCAACACAAGUGAGCUGUUGCAUCUGAAGCAACUCCAUUUUAACGAAUGCCCACAACUGGCAAAUUUCCUUGUUCAUCCCAUCUUGUAUCAGUCACAGGAGGUAACGUAAAUGCCACCCUGAUCUUUUAUCUCGAAAUAUAUAUGAGCUACGAGAAGAGAAGUGUUCAAAAUAAUUUAUGAUGCGUAUCUUUGUGGGUGACAGUGUCAACUUUUAUGUUCAAGAAGUGAGCUUCCUGAAUGGUUAACCUACAAAAGCAUGAACUUGAAGGAAGAGGACGAGGAUUCUUGCAAUGUGAAGGUAGAGUUGCCUCCUCCUCAUAGCACUGGCCAGCCAAUGAUUGUUAAGGGAAUUGCGUUUGGGGUUGUGUUCUCUUCCCGCUUUUGGUUGGAUAUGAGAUGCGAUUGCAAAGUCGGCAACGCCAUCGUUGCAUCUUGGAAUUGCAGUAACUGGUAUUUUUACAGUGAACGUGAUGAGUCAUCGAGAGAAAAAUUAUGGUUGCAAUACGACAAGAUGGCUGUGGGAAGUAAAGAAGACGUAGUGUGGUAUGUCAAAUAUGCUGGAGCCACUGCUACGUUCAAUUUUCACAUUCGUGACCGGUUUGGAACAGCCAAAAUAAAAGGAUGUGGGGUUUGUCUGCUCUACUAAAGUAGUUUGCAGGGGGAGGGAAAAGGACUUGCCAUGAUACAGGUACAUUGCUGAUGUUGUUAAAAGCUUGUUAUCCAGUUGAAUGUUCUCUUGUUGUUGUCAACUCUACUGUGGUUUCAUAUAGUUGCUUGUUGUUAACUCAUUAUUGACCUAUUGGUCACGCUAUAAUCGAUGUGUACAUGAUAUUUUUAAGACCAUGUCGAUUGUUUUUUUGGGUGGAAAAGGAAAACCUUAUAUAGUCAUUUAGUCUGUUAGUUAUUAGUUUUUUUAAGUUUGAAAAAAAGUUAAUUAGUUUCUUACUCGGUUUGUUCGGUUUUCCGUUGGUUAACCUAGCCAAACCAAAUUCCACCUAUCGGGUUUAAUUAAUACAUAUAGAAAGUAUAAUCUAUCGAUUUCGUGCAAAAAAAAUGGCACCACUUAUCGAAAGUAUAUUUUAUGACAUCAAUUUUGAAUGAAUUUAAUGGAAAUUGAUAAUUGGCAGCAUUGGCCGUUAAAAAUGACGGCAAACUUGACACUAUUAUAACAAAAAAAAAUUGGGUGAAAGUUGAUAGAUUGAGCUUUCUAUGUGUAUUAAUAAUUAAGCCUUAAAUCCAGAUUAUACUAAGAAACCCUAUUACAAUCCUAAUUUCUAAACUUUAGUUGUAAGGGUUUUGUUCUCGCGGUUACUAAACUGCAAAAAAGGAUACUGAAAUGCGCGCACGUUCUCGCAGUUAUUAGAAACAUCUCCUCGCCUGAUGCGUUACUUGCUUGCAUUCCUUGCAGAGAAAAAUUAAAAAGCUGUUAUCCAACGGAACAGCAAUUUAGUGGGUGGGACAUGGGUUGCAUAAUGAUCUACUUGGUACGCCUAUAAUCAUUUCGAUUGCUCAAGUUUAGCUUUUGAAACUUUAUUUUUUUAUACGAAACUUUUUUAUACGAAGUGAUCCCUAGGAUCAUGUCAGAAGUGAAGCAUGUAAGUUCAUCAAUUUGCACUUUCACGUUUGUUCGUUUGUGUUAUGAGAAUCGAUAAUUUUUUGAAAACGAUGUAUAUAAAGAAAUUGUCAUUUCUCAAAAUAUCUGUAUGGAAUCUAUAUAUCUAUGGUUGAGUUUUUACUAUAAAUAUAUACCUUUUGGUUUCAUUACUGGAUUAUUUUAUAAAACAAGGAUAAUAUUGGAAUUUUAAAUAAAUAUCAAUUUGAAAAUCCGUAAAACUUAACUUUUUGUUGAAUUUUGUUUUUGGUGUUUUAGAGCUCAAUUUUUCCAUCAAAUUUUGAAAUUUACUUUUUCUAUCAAACGAGGGAAUCUUAAAAAAUUAUUGUUUCACUCAAAACACAAACCAAAAACACCAAAACCAAACAUGUUAUAACUUGAAGACUUGAAUUUGUAACAUGUUAUAAAUUUCCAUGGCUGAAUUAGGAGCUGAUAGAUCACAAUUCUUGUUUUGCUUCAGCAUUUUUAAGGACCUGUAGCAGGUGCUCCUUUCAGGAAAUUAGGAUGCAUGACUUUUUCCGUAUGGUCGCGCGAUGUCGUGGAAUAUAAAAUUGAUUAUAAUUAGAUGUUCCGUAUUUGAAUUUUACGAGUCUCCUUUAAAAAGAGAAAGUAAAUUUACGAAUUUGAAGUUUGCAUAGGCCGAGCGUAGGUUGUGCUUAAUGGAAUUAGUUGGAUGAGGUAUUUUUGCAUAUGUGGUAUUUUGAAGUAAAUAAUGUGUUAUAGAAAGAAUGUGGUAUUUCUGAAGUGUAAGGUUUGUGAUGUGGUCAUGCGAAAAUUAUUUUGUUUUGGUGAAUGAGUUAAUUCAAUGUGAUAUUUCGUACAUGGAAAAGCCAAAUUAUUAGUUGAAAUACCACGAUUUUUUGAAGAUGUCAAACGAAUUAUUUUGAGCUGAAUAACUCAAAUUAUAUAACUCAAACAUUUGAUUAUUUUAUAUAAGGUAACAAUUAAAAAUAAAUAAAUCAACUAUUUUAUACAUAAAAAAAUCUCAUUACAUAAAUAUAUCAAUAAAAACUUAAUUGAACGAUUUAGACUCAACUCGAAUAUUUCAAUUUUCAUAUCCUGUUUGACCAUAUAGAGUUCAAUCGAAUUGUCAUCAUCAGAAAUAGUUGUUGUAAUUAAAAAAAAUAAAAACCAUUUGGAAGGAUAAGUGUUAAUUACGUGUAAGAUUAGGUAGGCCGGCCAUUAACCAAAAAAGUCAUCAAUUAUUCAGAAAACAAAUGAUUCAGUCGCAAUCUAAAGUCUUUGUUUAAUUAGCAUAAACUUGUUACAAUUAAAAAAGACCCCCUGACUCAUAAGUCUUCAAAUUAAUCUCAGCCGUCCAGAUGAUCUAUUCAUUGGCAGGAUAACACAAGUGAUCAAUUAUUCAUAACAUAGAAAAUUCAUUCACUCAUAAUCUAAACUCCCCCGCCCAACUUGUUCAUCAUGCUAUAAACAUAUUCAGAGCACCAGCAGAAAAAAGUCAUACAUCAUUUUCUGAGUUAAUGGCUGCAAUUUCUUCUUCUUCUUCUUCUUCUUCUUCUUCUUCUGCUUCUUCUUCUGCAUCUCAUAGCUCUCUGUACGAUGUUUUCCUGUGUUUUCGAGGCGACGACACGCGCAAUGGUUUCACCAGCCACCUCAUGUCUGCUCUGUGUGAUAGGCAAAUCCAAACCUUCAUAGACGACAAGCUCGAGAGAACAGAGAGCAUCGGUGAGCUUCUAUCCAUCCUCGAAAGAACUGCUCUUUCUGUGGUGGUUUUUUCUGAGA